RNAcentral lists this ribosomal RNA (552 nucleotides) under uncultured bacterium. Its description in RNAcentral is "partial 16S ribosomal RNA". It matches the Rfam family "Bacterial small subunit ribosomal RNA", at positions 355 to 895 of the family's 1533-position model. The record is from RNAcentral.
UGGGGAAUAUUGCACAAUGGGCGCAAGCCUGAUGCAGCCACGCCGCGUGUGUGAAGAAGGCCUUCGGGUUGUAAAGCACUUUCAGCGAGGAGGAAGGUGGUGAGCUUAAUACGCUCAUCAAUUGACGUUACUCGCAGAAGAAGCACCGGCUAACUCCGUGCCAGCAGCCGCGGUAAUACGGAGGGUGCAAGCGUUAAUCGGAAUUACUGGGCGUAAAGCGCACGCAGGCGGUUUGUUAAGUCAGAUGUGAAAAUCCCCGGGCUCAACCUGGGAACUGCAUUUGAAACUGGCAAGCUAGAGUCUCGUAGAGGGGGGUAGAAUUCCAGGUGUAGCGGUGAAAUGCGUAGAGAUCUGGAGGAAUACCGGUGGCGAAGGCGGCCCCCUGGACGAAGACUGACGCUCAGGUGCGAAAGCGUGGGGAGCAAAACAGGAUUAGAUACCCUGGUAGUCCACGCUGUAAAACGAUGUCGAUUUUGGAGGUUGUGCCCUUGAGGCGUGGCUUCCGGAGCUAACGCGUUAAAUCGACCGCCUGGGGAGUACGGCCGCAAGGUU